UUCCUACGGGGGGCAGCAGUGGGGAAUAUUGGGCAAUGGGCGCAAGCCUGACCCAGCAACGCCGCGUGAAGGAAGAAGGCUUUCGGGUUGUAAACUUCUUUUAUGAGGGACGAAACAAAUGACGGUACCUCAUGAAUAAGCCCCGGCUAACUACGUGCCAGCAGCCGCGGUAAUACGUAGGUGGCAAGCGUUAUCCGGAUUUACUGGGUGUAGAGGGCGUGUAGGCGGGACUGCAAGUCA
RNAcentral lists this ribosomal RNA (240 nucleotides) under uncultured bacterium. RNAcentral's name for it is "partial 16S ribosomal RNA". It matches the Rfam family "Bacterial small subunit ribosomal RNA", at positions 336 to 590 of the family's 1533-position model. The record is from RNAcentral.